Molecule: ribosomal RNA, 240 nt
Filed under: Paenibacillus sp. cl6col
Lineage: Bacteria; Bacillati; Bacillota; Bacilli; Caryophanales; Paenibacillaceae
Description: 16S rRNA. Bacterial SSU
Rfam family: Bacterial small subunit ribosomal RNA
Source: RNAcentral
CUUUAACGGAGAGUUUGAUCCUGGCUCAGGACGAACGCUGGCGGCGUGCCUAAUACAUGCAAGUCGAGCGGACUUGAUGGAGUGCUUGCACUCCUGAUGGUUAGCGGCGGACGGGUGAGUAACACGUAGGUAACCUGCCCAUAAGACUGGGAUAACCCACGGAAACGUGAGCUAAUACCAGAUAGGCAUUUUCCUCGCAUGAGGGAGAUGAGAAAGGCGGAGCAAUCUGCCACUUAUGGA